GAUGAACGCUGGCGGCGUGCCUAAUACAUGCAAGUCGAGCGAACAGACGAGGAGCUUGCUCCUCUGACGUUAGCGGCGGACGGGUGAGUAACACGUUGAUAACCUACCUAUAAGACUGGGAUAACUUCGGGAAACCGGAGCUAAUACCGGAUAAUAUAUUGAACCGCAUGGUUCAAUAGUGAAAGACGGUUUUGCUGUCACUUAUAGAUGGAUCCGCGCCGCAUUAGCUAGUUGGUAAGGUAACGGCUUACCAAGGCAACGAUGCGUAUCCGACCUGAGAGGGUGAUAGGCCACACUGGAAAUGAGACACGGUCCAGACUCCUACGGGAGGCAGCAGUAGGGAAUCUUCCGCAAUGGGCGAAAGCCUGACGGAGCAACGCCGCGUGAGUGAUGAAGGUCUUCGGAUCGUAAAACUCUGUUAUUAGGGAAGAACAAAUGUGUAAGUAACUAUGCACGUCUUGACGGUACCUAAUCAGAAAGACACGGCUAACUACGUG
RNAcentral lists this ribosomal RNA (497 nucleotides) under uncultured bacterium. RNAcentral describes it as "partial 16S ribosomal RNA". It matches the Rfam family "Bacterial small subunit ribosomal RNA", at positions 28 to 507 of the family's 1533-position model. The record is from RNAcentral.